UGGUCCGCAGGGCCCCCGGGGCUUGGACUGGGGCUGUCGCUGGUUCGGUAGGGUUGGGGCCCCGCGCUGAGCGCACAGCCCUUGUGCUCCAGCUCCUCCAUAUUUUAAUAAAUGGCCACGACUUUUUGAGAUCUUGGUAGUGUCGCCUGUUGGGGUGCGAGCCCCUCGGACUGCUCCUCUGAAGCAGGGGGGUGGCUGGCGCCAGGCCGGUGGCCCUAUUUUGCCUUUCCGCUUAGAGGAACUCGGCCCCCACCCUCGCCGCGGUCACCUGCACGUUCAGCACCCCAUCAGUGCACGCACCUGGGCCUCCAGCUACCGCGGGCGGGCGGAGAGCUUCCGGAAUGUGGGAGGGGGGCUCUGGAACUGGCUUACGUCUUCUACCUCACAGACAGGGUUCUCUGAACCUCAGGACGGAGAUGCCGCCGCCCCCACGUCGGGCUGGCUAGGGAGCCACCGCCCGGACAGGCAUCGGGGGUUGUGACCGCCAGGGCCCCGGCCUACUCCUCCACGUCCAAGACGAGAGGCGAGGCCCAGACCCUUCGACCGCAAGCCGGCUCCGCGUCCCUCCCGUCCCGCCGGUCUCCAAACCAUGAUCCAUUCCAAAUGAUACCAGCGCCAGACUCACGUCUCAGCCACGCCUCCGAGGAAGAAACCAUGUUUGUUUCUGAAAAAACAAAACCCAGAAGACGUCUUCCACCUGUUUCUGUGUUUCCUAAGAAGAACAGUUUGACAAAUGUCAAGGAAUUCAAAGCGGGAUAUUAGUUCCUGAAGUUUCCGUUUGCAGUUUCUGCCUUGCUUCUGUUUGAAUCUUGUAAUUAAACACAGCUUUUGAUAUUUA
Molecule: non-coding RNA, 838 nt
Organism: Odocoileus virginianus texanus
Lineage: Eukaryota; Metazoa; Chordata; Mammalia; Artiodactyla; Cervidae
Source: RefSeq, a predicted model, not a curated record